Molecule: ribosomal RNA, 884 nt
Filed under: Microbacterium sp.
Lineage: Bacteria; Bacillati; Actinomycetota; Actinomycetes; Micrococcales; Microbacteriaceae
Description: bacterial SSU rRNA
Rfam family: Bacterial small subunit ribosomal RNA
Source: RNAcentral
AGCAGGGAAGAAGCGAAAGUGACGGUACCUGCAGAAAAAGCGCCGGGCUAACUACGUGCCAGCAGCCGCGGUAAUACGUAGGGCGCAAGCGUUAUCCGGGAAUUAUUGGGCGUAAAGAGCUCGUAGGCGGUCUGUCGCGUCUGCUGUGAAAACCCGAGGCUCAACCUCGGGCUGCAGUGGGUACGGGCAGACUAGAGUGCGGUAGGGGAGAUUGGAAUUCCUGGUGUAGCGGUGGAAUGCGCAGAUAUCAGGAGGAACACCGAUGGCGAAGGCAGAUCUCUGGGCCGUAACUGACGCUGAGGAGCGAAAGGGUGGGGAGCAAACAGGCUUAGAUACCCUGGUAGUCCACCCCGUAAACGUUGGGAACUAGUUGUGGGGUCCAUUCCACGGAUUCCGUGACGCAGCUAACGCAUUAAGUUCCCCGCCUGGGGAGUACGGCCGCAAGGCUAAAACUCAAAGGAAUUGACGGGGACCCGCACAAGCGGCGGAGCAUGCGGAUUAAUUCGAUGCAACGCGAAGAACCUUACCAAGGCUUGACAUAUAGAGGAAACGGCUGGAAACAGUCGCCCCGCAAGGUCUCUAUACAGGUGGUGCAUGGUUGUCGUCAGCUCGUGUCGUGAGAUGUUGGGUUAAGUCCCGCAACGAGCGCAACCCUCGUUCUAUGUUGCCAGCACGUAAUGGUGGGAACUCAUGGGAUACUGCCGGGGUCAACUCGGAGGAAGGUGGGGAUGACGUCAAAUCAUCAUGCCCCUUAUGUCUUGGGCUUCACGCAUGCUACAAUGGCCGGUACAAAGGGCUGCAAUACCGUGAGGUGGAGCGAAUCCCAAAAAGCCGGUCCCAGUUCGGAUUGAGGUCUGCAACUCGACCUCAUGAAGUCGGAGUCA